Molecule: RNase P RNA, 407 nt
Filed under: Octadecabacter sp.
Lineage: Bacteria; Pseudomonadati; Pseudomonadota; Alphaproteobacteria; Rhodobacterales; Roseobacteraceae
Description: RNase P RNA component class A
Rfam family: Bacterial RNase P class A
About the family: Ribonuclease P (RNase P) is a ubiquitous endoribonuclease, found in archaea, bacteria and eukarya as well as chloroplasts and mitochondria.
Source: RNAcentral
GCGGAGGAUCGGAUGGCCGCGGGCAGGGUAACUUGCUCGAGGAAAGUCCGGACUCCAUCAAGGCACGGUACCGGGUAACGCCCGGGCAGGGUAACCUGACGGAGAGCGCCACAGAGAACAGACCGCCCAGCAUGUCGAACCAGAGGUUCGCCUCCGGCUUAGUUGGGUAAGGGUGAAACGGUGGAGUAAGAGACCACCGCGGCGGUGGUAACAUCGCUGGCAUGGCAAGCCCUACCGGGAGCAAUGCCAAAUAGGGGCCGCGUGUGAGGGUAACCUCGCAGGAUCGUCUUGAUCCGAGCAGGUCCGGGUUGGCAGCUAGAGGGCGCUUGGUAACAGGCGCUUUAGAUGAAUGGUCAUCGAUCCGCGCAAGCGGUGAACAAAAUCCGGCUUAUAGAUCCUCCGCGUUU